AGAGCUAUGGCUUAAUUAGUAGAGCACAGACUUUCAAGUCAGAUGUUCUGAGUUCAAAUCUCAAUAAUUCUA
RNAcentral lists this transfer RNA (72 nucleotides) under Dipodomys ordii (Ord's kangaroo rat). It matches the Rfam family "tRNA". From Rfam's summary of the family: Transfer RNA (tRNA) molecules are approximately 80 nucleotides in length. The record is from Rfam by way of RNAcentral. Lineage: Eukaryota; Metazoa; Chordata; Mammalia; Rodentia; Heteromyidae.